AGAGAAUGCAAUUUCCUUUUCAAGAUUACAACUGCCACAUAAAUCAUCUUUUGUACAUAUGCAAGACGUGGAUAAUAUUUUUUGGCUACUACUAUCUUUACAGUCCACAGUAUUGCUAGUGUUAAAUAUGCUUAUCCCACCAAUGCUUAUUGGGUCAUUAGCAGUUUUAUUAAUCAAAUUAUAUCCCCCACUAUCCAAGACUAUACCCGUGGCUUCUUUGGCAUAUACCGAGCCACAGUCCUCGAAGCUAGCAAACGUUUUUCUGGCGCUAUCUUUGCUUCUUACGGUGACCCAAGUGUCAUCCCAUGCCCAGUUUGGCACUUUCCCACUGCCUUCGGCCAAUUGACGGAUUCUUUCCAUCGGAGAAAGGGAACAACUUUUAUGGGUCGGUUUCCAUAUCCAAGCUGCCUCUACCUCCUCCCUUGAAUCCCAUAGUCUUUGGUCUAAUGCACUUGUUGGAGUAUCCGUAUCAGUAUCCUUCAAAACAGAGCCGGCGUCCUCUGUAAUAAAAGCAUGUUCAAGUAGCUCAUCAGCUGACCACCUCUCCGUCGGGUCUCUCUUCAAGCACUUGCUCAGAAAAUCUUUAGCCUGCUUAGACAUAAAGCUCGGAAUUUCUGGCACAUUACCUGAAAACCCAAUUUGGUAAAGCGCAAAAACAGGGUCCGAAAAAUUGGCCCAUGGAGCCCUUCCGGUAGCCAUCUCAAGAACAGUACACCCAAGAGCCCAGAUGUCAGCGGGGAAGCCCUGGUGUUCACCACGCGCCACCUCAGGUGCCAUGUACACAGGAGUACCGGCAAUUGUAGUAUUGGUGGCCAAAACCUCAUCCACCCACCUAGCGCAACCAAAGUCAGCAAGUUUUGCCCCGGCACGGGUGACCAAAAUAUUAUGACCCUUAAUGUCACGAUGUACAAUUCCAUUAGAAUGGAGGUAGUGAAGACCAAGCAAAAUCUGUCGAGUGUAUGACCUGAUCAUGGACUCAUCAAGCCACCCUCCACGCUUGUGCAGUGCAUCCAGAAGGGUGCCUCCAGGUGCGUAUUCCAAGAAAAUAUUGUAUAAGAACUUACCAUUUUCUACUGUAAUGUCAAAGCCUUUGUAUGCAAUAAUUUGAGGAGAAGUUAAUACAGAAAGAAAGCUUUGCUCCUUCUGUAAGAACUCCGAUUGUGAGAGCUCAGCUGACUUGACAGCAAAAGCCUGACCGGACUGAUCGAGCGCAGCGAUUGAGACUGUGGAAGUGGAGCCACGGCCAAUAGUUCGGCCUCUAGUCCAGUCCAUUUUGAAGGGACGAGACAAUUUUAGUUCUGUUAUUAUGGUAUUGGCAGGCAUAAAUAUAUAUACAUAUAGGCGCAAACAAUUAUGUGCUUGUGGAGGGUAUGUUUUGACGUUAAUGCAAGAAAUAAUGCUUUUGGAAGCUUAUUCUUGGGCCAAUGGGCGGCCGCCGUUUCUUUCUCCCUCAAGGCCUGAGGGUUCCAAGUGGCGAAAGGAGGGUGGCUUGAAAGCUUUUGGCCUGACUUGGGAGCGUUUGCUUUAAUGCCAAUAUUGGCUUAGCUUAGCUGUGAAUUAUACUGUCCACAUGCGGCCACGUGAGAAUGUGCAUAGAGUGCGGUGUUGAUGAAGUCUAUGGUACACACAGUACAAUGUAUGGAAUGAUUGAAAAUGGAUAUUUCAAAGUUUAUUUAGGUUUGUGGGUUAGGACUUGGAAUUGAAGUCUUAGGUUUAUGCUUAUUUUACAGUUAGAUAAUGUAAACUUAUGCAAGUAAAUCUCCACUAAUGAUGAGAUUCGUUGAACCUGUAACAGCUUAAGCUAUACCCAAAUGGGACUGCCCUCAACAAUUCAUG
This 1836-nucleotide unclassified non-coding RNA is filed under the name Hevea brasiliensis (rubber tree). The record is from RNAcentral. Lineage: Eukaryota; Viridiplantae; Streptophyta; Magnoliopsida; Malpighiales; Euphorbiaceae.